GGGGCCUUUCCCGAGGGGUGGUUUUCCUGAGCCCUUCCCGCGUGUCCCCCCGCCUCACCCCGGGCUCUGGGGCUGUUCACAGCCUCCGUCCCACCGCGGCAGGCGCUGCUGGGUGUACAGAGCUGUGCGAGCCCUCGGGAAGAAGCGCAGAGAGGCUGUGCCUGGCUGGAAGCAGCUACACGGCCCCAUUAACCAAACGGAGCCUGGAGAACGUCUGACAUGAGGAGGGACUUGGUGUGGGUGACAUGGCUGCAGUCAAGAGGCUCCUGGCUGGGGGAGGUCACUGAACUCCCCCGAGGGCUGCCGAGGGAAGCUGGUGUGUACAGGCUCUUCUCAGCUGGAACAGACACCUAAAAGCAACUGAAGUGCACCUGAGAUGCGCCUUGAAUUGCACCUUUGGUUUUUGUCUUUUGUUAACCAUAAAAAAACCCCACCAAGGUGACUGUAGCACAUAUAUAGCACUUUGAGUGUCUUAAGGAUGAAUGUUAUCACAUAAUGGUAAAAAUUCCAAAAUCAGUGCUUUAACUCCUUUCGGUUUUAACAUAGUUCUACCUUGCUGCUUUUGUUACCUUUCCCAAUAAAAAUUUGGAAAGAAAUAUCAUAUUCCUUAUAAAUUAUAAAUUUACCCUCCAGCACCUGGCAGUGGAUUGCUUGGUACUGUUUGCCCACAAAUUGAUUAUUUUAGUCUCUUCAUAUGAGUCAGUGGCCAUGUGCUGAUGCCAGGAAAGCACCUGGUUGUGUGGGUCACUUAAAUGGUUCACCUGAGACAGCUGGGUUGAAAUGUUAAGAAAAAUUGUCAACUGAAUUUCCAGCAAUCCUUCAAACUUUUUUUUUUCUCUUUUUUUUUUUACCUUUUUUUUUAUUUUCAAUUCUAGGUAAAGGCAAAGCCUACGGCUCUUUUCCCUCAGACACCUCAGGCUGUACUGGUGCUCAGAAAAAGGUGGGUAGUGUCUUUCCUUCUUCACAGAGAGGUGUAAAUCUUAAAGCUUAAUUAAAGCAAUUUGAGUAGUAAUAAUAUUAUCCACUUGAAAGUAGAAACAUUUUGAUGUUCUAGAAUAAUCUGGCCUAAGGAAUAUAUUCUCACUCUCUUUGCAAUUAAAGUGAUUUGGUGCAUGUUACUCUUUUUAAUCUUCUCCUUAAGCUUUGAAACCUGUCUUGCAGGGAUCAGGGCUCAUCUCUUGUCUCAAGGGUUUCAGCCUCAGUGACUGGUUGAAAUUAGGCUCAGGUACAAAAGUCUCUACUAGUAAGUUUCUGGGGAGAAUCUUGGUUCCUGUGGCAUCCCAGCUCAGAAUCCCAUGCUGCUGGAAAGCUCAGGUAUCUCUCUGGACUCUUAGAGCACAGCAUGUUUUCAGAGGCAGUUCAGUUUCAUAGAAAUGCUCCUCCCCUCCUGUUCUCCCUGCUCCUUUACAGACUCCACAGUGGCCACUGAAUUACUGGCACUGAGCCCUCACAGGACCAGGGUCUUAAGAAGAAAGUCAGGCUGGCCUUAAAGCACAUUGGCUUUUUUAAGGGCUCAGAUCCCACCCCUUACAAAGCCCAGGCUGUGGAGUGUGAGCUGCAAAUACAUUAGAGAGUUCAGAGCAAUCUGGACACUCAAAUAUUGUCCUGGUUUUUCUCUCCUCUCACACAAUUUCCUAACAAUGCUCUCGUCCUCCACUGCUUUCUUCUGCUGACAAGCAGUAUUGUGUCCUUUGGAGUGAUGAAAGGCAAAGGCACUGAACAGCAUCAUCAACACGUGGCAGUUCCUUUCAUUUUUAAUUAAAUAUAUGACAGCCAAUGGACCAGUAAUGUACCUAAAUAAACCACAUUCAUAGAACAAAGGAAGAAGACACUCUUGAGCACUAAGUUUAAUACACAGUGGGUAUCCAAUGGAUACAACAGAAAAGUUAAUUCAUUCAGAAUUGUAAGGAAGCAACAGUUGUGCAUUUUGAUUUUUUUGCUCAGUUUCACCAGGUGCAAACAUUUGAACCAGGCCUCAGCAUCAGGCAGGUCCAUGGACAGAGUAAAAGGAGACACUUGCUCAUUAUAACUGAGGGUAUUUUCAUUGCAAAACAAGGAAAUACAUAUUUAAUUAGCUUAAAAACUUUUUUUUAACAAGUAAAGAGUUACAGAGAGGAUCAGUUAACAAUUACAUGAAAUCAAAAGAGUCUGCUAAAGCAGAAGUGUUUCAGUUCAGCAGAGUAUCUCCCUCAUUCCUUAAGUGCUCUCUUCUCCUUCAGCCCCCAUGUUGCUUUUCAUCUAUUCCUGAUGACUAUUGCCCUCUGUGCUUCAUCCACACACAUGGUUGUCCUGGAGACCAGCUGUUUCCCUCCUUUUAAUUCUCUUUUUCCAGCACAAGCUGUCCUCUAACACCUGAGCUGUGGCAGACUCCUCCCUGAACAGACUCAAGGAAAUGUCUUUUCUAUGGGUAGUGCCUGACUGCAGUGCCCUCUAGCUCCUGCCCUACUGGUAAUUAAUUGCCUUCUUCAGGUAAUGAGAGGGAACUGACUCACAGCUCCAAGACUUUUCUUCCCACUCAUCUUUUGCAGAGACCAGGGUGACAGCAGCAGAAGCCUAGCCAAGGUGAUAAGCUGGGUAGGAUUCAGUGCUGAAGAGGAUAAUUUCAGUAGGAAGGUGCAGGGAAACCAGCAGCCAUGGUGCAGAUGAAUUAUCUGCAGUGUUCUGAUUGCCACAAAUAUCAGUGCUAAACUUUCUUGGCUUGGUCUAGAUGAGAAAGUCUGAUGCUUCUGGGUGUUAAACAUCAUCCAAGUAGAUGCCAAUCCUUAUGAGCAAUUCCUCCCACAGAUUUUGUAAAAUGGAAGCACUGGUGGGAAGUUGCUCACCAAUUUGCUCUUAUCUGCUCCAGAGAACAUGGACACCUGGCACUGCUGGGACACUGACAAGGGCCACUGGAGGACAGGGCAGCCUCCAGCCAGGAAGGAAACCACACACAGUUCAGGCAGAGGGCUCCUUUGUUGGCACAGUCUCUGCAGGGAGCUACUGAGUCGUGUUCGUGCUCUGCUUGCCAAGCUUUGGAAUAUUAAAGGAAAUGUAGUAGUGAAAACAUGAAGAGUCUGAGUGGGCCAACAGCUACUGAGCACAAGGAGCCCCUCUGCAAUAUCCUUACAUGCUGUGAACUUCUCUACAGCUGGAUUUUCAUUUGAAAAAUAGAACCCCAUUCUGGUUUUCUGAGCAGGGUUGGUCACUGGCUGUAGAAUUUUAUGUGGAGCUGAAGUUUCUUGGCUUGUUCCUUUGAUCCAGCAAAGCUGGAAGGCCUGAGAGGCGUCCUUGGAGCAGUCAAGUAUUUCAGGGUAUCCAGCUUCCCUUUUUACAUUAAACCUUCAUAAAAAAUCUGCCACUUUCCCCCUCCUUCCUUUGCAGAAUAUUGAUGUGUCUGCAGGCAACUCUCCUCAGCUCUGACUCUAUGGCACCAGUUAAAUCCUUGCCACCAAAAAACGUUUUCAGGCCAUGCAUUAUGCCUGUUGUUUCAGUUAGGGAAACUGAGGCUCAGGCUGGUUUCAGACUUUCAAUUGCAGGAACUGUUGGAUUGUGCUCUGGUGCUCAAAGGAUACUUUUUGAUCCUUUCUGAGGGGAAAAUGUUACUUUUCAGCUCACAAAAUCUUGAAGACACUGAAGCUUGCAGGCAAAGCUCACAUUACUCUAACAGGGGUGUUAUUCCUUUUAAUGUGCUGCCUUAGACAUUCACCUUGCUGGUGGCCUGACUCAAAAUCUUAUGUGAGGCUUUCUGCAAUUGCCCAGUUAAGAGUUCCCUCUUUCACCUGGGAGUGGUGACAGAUUUCAGCAAGCUGAGCUUUUCUGUCAGCCUGGCCUGGUUCCAUUCAUCUCCUUAUUGCUAGAAAUUGAAAUAUUUUUAUCCUGGUUCGGGCUGAGGUACAGCUUGCUGUGAGAACAGAGGUUACCUCUGCAGUGUGAAACAACUUUGAUGCAGUGUGGAUCUUGUUAGUUUGGGAUGCAGCAGGUGAGACUCCAGAAACUGUUCAACUUGUGGAAGCACUGGUUUGGAAAACCCAAACCUUUGGGCUCUCAAGGCAGGUAAAACCAAGCCCUUGGUUGUUAUUAGCCUUGAUGUAGUUGUGCCAAAGUCUCAGAGUAGAGCCCAACUGCUUGGCUUGGAUUGCAGGGAGAGGCUGGGAUCUGCUCCAGCUGAGAUGGGAGUUCCCCAGCUCCGCUUCUCCCCAGCAUGGCAGCUGCUUUCUGGGGACAAGGCUUUCUGAGACCUCACAUCUGUCAUCUGUCCCCUUCUGCUCUACUCCCACCUUGCCAACACGGUCAAUCUUGAGUGCUUUUUGUCACUUGGUUCAAGAUUUUAGUGACAGGAGCUUUCACUACAUGGGCAUUGGAAAGGAAGCACAUGUGGUGGGUGGUACUGCCAUGUGAAACAACUUCCCAAGGACAGCAGCACUAAAUGGGGAGUUAAAGAGCAAAGCUUGACUCCCCUAACAACCAAGGCUGUAUUUGCAGCCCCUCUUAGUUUUGCAUCUAGAAGGAAGAUUAGCAAAUGUUACACAGAAAACAGUUCUUGAAAUAAGCUCAUAGGGACACAGAUUCUUGGGAAACAAGA
Long non-coding RNA from Passer montanus (Eurasian tree sparrow), 4561 nucleotides. RefSeq lists it as uncharacterized. The record is from RefSeq and is a predicted model, not a curated record. NCBI's taxonomy places the organism in Eukaryota, Metazoa, Chordata, Aves, Passeriformes, Passeridae. The transcript is spliced from 2 exons.